Lagenorhynchus albirostris (white-beaked dolphin) is the source of this 1908-nucleotide long non-coding RNA. RefSeq lists it as uncharacterized. The record is from RefSeq and is a predicted model, not a curated record. NCBI's taxonomy places the organism in Eukaryota, Metazoa, Chordata, Mammalia, Artiodactyla, Delphinidae. The transcript is spliced from 2 exons.
UGGACAACGUGGAUAGGACUUGGACGGGGGACAGGUUGGGAGGGAAAACGAAGGAGGACUUUAGUGUAAGUUUGACCUCCUCUUGGGAGAGUCAAGUGGCAUAUAAAGUUGGCAAUUGGAAAGGUGGCUCUGAAGGCAGAAUUAGGGCUGUAGGUAGAAAUGUGUGAGUUCUGUGAAUAUAUGGGAUUGUUGUGACCACAGGGGUGGCCGAGGCUGCCUUUGGACAAAGGUAGGUGACAGAGUCUGACGGGACCCAGGAGGGGAAGAGCCAGGGAGGGAGUCAGGGGAAACCCGAGGGGCUUCUAGCAGUGCUUGCAGGGUCCACGAGAGGACAAGAUGGCUGGAAAAUGAAAUUCUGCUGAAAGGCAGUGGCAGUAAGAAAGGACACAGGCAACAAGGACCAGCACAAGGCAACAAAGAAUGGGAAUGGACCGUUUUUGGAGUGUUUUCUAGCUGUGAGGCACUCGCUUUAUUUCAUUUAGUAGCUAUACACUAUUAAAUGAACGCAUGCAUUUUCAUUUAACUUUUAUUUUGGAAUAAUUUUAGCUUCUAGAAAAAUUGCAAAAAUAAUACAAAGAAUUUCCAGGUGCCCUUUACCCAAUUUUCCCUAGCCACCUUGUAUAAUUAUAACAUAUUAAUCAAAACUAAAAAAUUAUCAUUGGUAUAAUGCUAACUAGACCAUAGACUUUAGUCAAAUUUCAGCAGUUUUCAACUAAGUGGAGGACACUAUUUGUGUACAGUUCCCUUUCUCUGUAACCUUACAGUAUACAGUCAAGGUUUUGUUUUCCAAAGUUACUUGGGUGGGUUCUUUUCCUCCGUACGGUCUCUUCAGCAUGGGUGUUACGUCAUUUGCUUGUGAUAUAGUUAGUUCUUUGUUACACUUGGUCUCUUAUUUUGGGCCUCUCCUCAUUCCUGAUUGCUUUUAUUUUUUGUUUACACACAGUAAAACUCUCUGGGUCUUGACAAAGACAUAGACGUGUGUAUCCAGCCCCACAGUUGUGGUACAGAACAGUUCUGUCACCUCCACGUUUCCCCCUACAGCCUGGAUCUUAACGGUGGUUUCAGGCGAGUGGGUAGCAAAGGGGUGGGGAAGGAGCUGGGCGGUGUAGGAUCUCCCCGACGACUGAGAACUUGACUGUGAGGGCAGCGUGCCCAUGGACAGAGCACAAGGGUAGGGUCUCCAGGUUGAGGCUGGGGGACGUCUCUUUAGCCAGUAGGUAGAGGUAAUAGGAGUGGCCAAAAGCCCCGGAGCCGGGCAGCAACCUCCCAGUGAGGACCAGCUGGGAAAGGCCAGCUGUGCGGACCAGGCAGGGUCUGAAGGGGCAGGUGGACCGUGGGGAGGGGUCCUGCCUGUUGUCUUCGCAGCUGACUGUGGAAAGAAGGAGGUGUGGAGUAGGUACCGGGGGAAGGUUAGAAAACAGCCUCUGUCCCCUGGCAGGGUGGGAGUUAAGGAGAAGGAAAAGAGAGGGUGGUGGGGCAGAGUGACACAGAGGACGGCCUGGGGCACGAGGAGCGGGGAUUUGCUGCAGUCCUCUCUGGAGGUACCCUUGACAGCUGCAGAACCAUGUGGAAAACGCAAAGGAGCUUUUUACUGCAGAGCUUUCGUUUGACCUGUGAGUGCUUGGAGUUGGGGGGAGUGAUGCGAGGAGUAGGCCAAGAACUGCGAGUCAAGCUUCUGGAAGAGGCUGAGAAGCAGUUUGAACUUUCACAUCGGUGGUUUUUCAAGUCAGGAAUAUUAGGUAUUAACUGAAGAAGAAAACACGGCCUUGGCCAGAGUAUCUGUAUGUCAAUAUUGAUACCAUCAGGAUUCAGUGAAACAAGAAGAUAUCUAUUCUGGACGAUAGCAGCUGCCUUUACUAAUUUCUUAUUAACUCAUACAGAGUUAAAACGUAUAUUCUUUCCUUUUCA